Non-coding RNA from Caenorhabditis elegans, 123 nucleotides. NCBI's taxonomy places the organism in Eukaryota, Metazoa, Nematoda, Chromadorea, Rhabditida, Rhabditidae. The record is from Ensembl.
AAAAAGGCGCGGGAAGUUGGGAGGAAAACGGAGAGAAGGACGGCGACGCGAAGAAAGCAAAUCUCCUCUUCUUCUUUUUUUUUCCACGGACCCUGCCAAAACACUGCUCUGGGAAAAAAAUUC